RNAcentral lists this transfer RNA (75 nucleotides) under Dichotomicrobium thermohalophilum. It matches the Rfam family "tRNA". From Rfam's summary of the family: Transfer RNA (tRNA) molecules are approximately 80 nucleotides in length. Their secondary structure includes four short double-helical elements and three loops (D, anti-codon, and T loops). The record is from Rfam by way of RNAcentral. Lineage: Bacteria; Pseudomonadati; Pseudomonadota; Alphaproteobacteria; Hyphomicrobiales; Hyphomicrobiaceae.
CGGUGUGUUGUGGAGCGAGGCCUAUUCGGCUGACUCUUAAUCAGCGGGUCCUAGGUUCGAGUCCUAGUGCGCCCA